GUUGAAAUAAUUUAAUAAAAAUGUUGAUUUUGUAAAUCAAUUUUGACCAGGUCUUUCAAUUUCAGA
Molecule: transfer RNA, 66 nt
Filed under: Rhipicephalus sanguineus (brown dog tick)
Lineage: Eukaryota; Metazoa; Arthropoda; Arachnida; Ixodida; Ixodidae
Description: tRNA-Thr
Source: RNAcentral